RNAcentral lists this long non-coding RNA (234 nucleotides) under Elaeis guineensis (African oil palm). Its description in RNAcentral is "long non-coding RNA (EGUI_LNC040849)". The record is from RNAcentral. Lineage: Eukaryota; Viridiplantae; Streptophyta; Magnoliopsida; Arecales; Arecaceae.
GUAUUCUGUGGACCCCGUCAAUGGGGGUUAAACGUUGGUCAUAGUCGAGGCUGUUGAGUUACGAGUGUUUUGAAUCGAAUCGGAUUUAUAAUUAUAUUAUAUGUGAAUAUUUGAAAUUAUUAGAUUUGCAUUAAAUCAGCAUGAAAUAUAUUUUUAUGUUUAUUUGCAGUAUUAUUCUUGAAAAUUAUAUAAUAUCUGAAAUAUCUGGUAGAGAUACUUGUUACUUACUGGGCU